RNAcentral lists this ribosomal RNA (377 nucleotides) under uncultured bacterium. RNAcentral describes it as "bacterial SSU rRNA". It matches the Rfam family "Bacterial small subunit ribosomal RNA", at positions 523 to 898 of the family's 1533-position model. The record is from RNAcentral.
AAACGUAGGAGGCGAGCGUUAUCCGGAUUUACUGGGUGUAAAGCGCGUGCAGGCGGUAAGCUAAGUUGGGUGUGAAAGCUCCUGGCUCAACUGGGAGAGGUCGCUCAAGACUGGCUAACUCGAGGAUGGUAGGGGAAGGUGGAAUUCCGGGUGUAGUGGUGAAAUGCGUAGAUAUCCGGAGGAACACCAGUGGCGAAGGCGGCCUUCUGGACCAUCACUGACGCUCAGACGCGAAAGCUAGGGUAGCAAACGGGAUUAGAGACCCCGGUAGUCCUAGCCGUAAACGAUGUGAACUUGGCGCUGGUCGGGUAAAACUGAUCCGUGCCGCAGCAAACGCGAUAAGUUCACCACCUGGGGACUACGGCCGCAAGGUUAAA